Molecule: long non-coding RNA, 150 nt
Organism: Xiphophorus couchianus (Monterrey platyfish)
Lineage: Eukaryota; Metazoa; Chordata; Actinopteri; Cyprinodontiformes; Poeciliidae
Exons: 3
Source: RefSeq, a predicted model, not a curated record
AGAUUUUUUUAAUUUAAAGUGAAUUAACCUGCCAGUGGAACUCAAACUUGGUUGCUAGGUAACGGGCUGGGCUUGGCUGGGGUUGCUAGGUAGCGAAAAAGUAGUAGUCCAGUGGCAGAUCAUUUCACUUAUGAUAACAGAUUUCCCCAU